This 497-nucleotide ribosomal RNA is filed under the name uncultured bacterium. RNAcentral's name for it is "partial 16S ribosomal RNA". It matches the Rfam family "Bacterial small subunit ribosomal RNA", at positions 28 to 507 of the family's 1533-position model. The record is from RNAcentral.
GACGAACGCUGGCGGCGUGCUUAACACAUGCAAGUCGAACGGAAGGACCAGAAUUUUGCUUCUCUGUUGUUAGCCGCGCACGGGUGAGUAACACGUGGAUCAUCUACCUAUAUGACUGAGAUAAUUUCGGAAAACCGGAGCUUAUACCGGAUAAUCUUUUGAACCGCAUGGUUGAAAAGUAAGAGACGGUCUUUCUGUCAGUUAUAGCUGGUUCUGCGCUGCAUUAGCUAGUUGGUGCGGUAACGGCUUACCAAGGCGACGAUGCAUAGCCGACCUGCGAGGGUGAUCGGCGACACUGGAACUGGGACACGGUCCAGGCUCCUACGGGAAGCAGCAGUAGGGAAGGGGACGCAAGGGGCGAGAGCCUGACGGAGCAGCGGCGCGCGAGUGAUGAAGAUGUUGGGAUCGGGAUACUCUGCUAUUAGGGAAGAACAGAUGUGUAAGUAGCUGUACAGAUCGUGACGGUACCGGAUCAAGAAGCCACGGCUAACUACGUG